GGAGUGUGGUGAAGUGGUAUCACAUUCGCUUUGCAUGCGAAAGGCCCCGGGUUCGAUUCCCGGCUCUUCC
Molecule: transfer RNA, 70 nt
Filed under: Euplotes focardii
Lineage: Eukaryota; Ciliophora; Spirotrichea; Euplotida; Euplotidae
Rfam family: tRNA
About the family: Transfer RNA (tRNA) molecules are approximately 80 nucleotides in length. Their secondary structure includes four short double-helical elements and three loops (D, anti-codon, and T loops).
Source: RNAcentral